Molecule: ribosomal RNA, 201 nt
Filed under: uncultured bacterium
Lineage: Bacteria
Description: partial 16S ribosomal RNA
Rfam family: Bacterial small subunit ribosomal RNA
Source: RNAcentral
GCAGGCUGAAACCCGCCUGUAUGAAGUCGGAAUUGCUAGUAAUCGCGGAUCAGCAUGCCGCGGUGAAUACGUUCCCGGGCCUUGUACACACCGCCCGUCACACCAUGAGAGCCGGUAACACCCGAAGUCAGUAGCCUAACCGCAAGGAGGGCGCUGCCGAAGGUGGGAUUGGUAAUUGGGGUGAAGUCGUAACAAGGUAGC